UGCCAGCCGCCGCGGUAAUACGAAGGGGGCUAGCGUUGUUCGGAAUUACUGGGCGUAAAGCGCACGUAGGCGGAUCGUUAAGUGAGGGGUGAAAUCCCGGGGCUCAACCCCGGAACUGCCUUUCAUACUGGCGAUCUGGAGUUCGAGAGAGGUGAGUGGGAUUCCGAGUGUAGAGGUGAAAUUCGUAGAUAUUCGGAGGAACACCAGUGGCGAAGGCGGCUCACUGGACCAUUAUUGACGCUGAGGUGCGAAAGCGUGGGGAGCAAACAGGAUUAGAUA
This 279-nucleotide ribosomal RNA is filed under the name uncultured bacterium. RNAcentral describes it as "partial 16S ribosomal RNA". It matches the Rfam family "Bacterial small subunit ribosomal RNA", at positions 506 to 784 of the family's 1533-position model. The record is from RNAcentral.